Molecule: transfer RNA, 83 nt
Filed under: Patescibacteria group bacterium
Lineage: Bacteria
Description: tRNA-Leu
Rfam family: tRNA
About the family: Transfer RNA (tRNA) molecules are approximately 80 nucleotides in length. Their secondary structure includes four short double-helical elements and three loops (D, anti-codon, and T loops).
Source: RNAcentral
GGGCAGGUGGCGAAACUGGUAGACGCACCACGCUUAGGACGUGGCCCCGCAAGGGAUUGGAGGUUCGAGUCCUCUCCUGCCCA